RNAcentral lists this long non-coding RNA (592 nucleotides) under Equus asinus (donkey). Its description in RNAcentral is "lncRNA (ENSEASG00005030716.1)". The record is from RNAcentral. Lineage: Eukaryota; Metazoa; Chordata; Mammalia; Perissodactyla; Equidae.
CCUACCAAUGGGUACCUCAAAAAUACCAUAUUGAACUCCAUGAAUGAUAGCAUGUGAAUUAUUUUCUGAACAUGGUAAUUUGUAAUUACUUGAAGUAGAAAGACAAUAUAUUUUGACAAGAAUAUAGUGUUUGAUAACAAUUCUUUUUAAAAAAGUGGAAGAUUCUCUUAGGUGUUAUAAUGAAUUGAAGAAAAGUGCAUGGAUGCUGGCACAUUGGUCAUUUGUAAAUAAAAUUCUAAGUACAGGUCUUUUCCACAUGGGUUGUGGGAGGAGGGUGAGAGGAUGAGAGAAUCUGUCCUCUGCACUUAAUUUCUCUUUCUUUUCAUUUUUCAGAAGGCAGUUUGGAUAGAUUUGAUAUUUUCUGAAAAGACCACAGAGGAAUGCAUCUAACACACCUUCUGGAAAGCAAAUUCUAUGCUGUGCUUCCACAUUAUGCAUUCUGAUUCCACAGUGAGAUGAUAUUAGCAAUGAAAGCAACUGGUCAUGCCGAUGAAAUGUGUACAAGUGAAACCUGAACCACAUUGGAUACGUAGCUGCUCAUGGAGACAUCCCAUAAAAAGUCUAAUUGGUGGAAUCCCCAAAUUGACAAGAG